RNAcentral lists this ribosomal RNA (253 nucleotides) under uncultured bacterium. Its description in RNAcentral is "partial 16S ribosomal RNA". It matches the Rfam family "Bacterial small subunit ribosomal RNA", at positions 524 to 776 of the family's 1533-position model. The record is from RNAcentral.
UACGUAGGUGGCAAGCGUUACCCGGAUUUACUGGGUGUAAAGGGCGUGUAGGCGGGACUGCAAGUCAGAUGUGAAACCCAUGGGCUCAACCCAUGGCCUGCAUUUGAAACUGUAGUUCUUGAGUGAUGGAGAGGCAGGCGGAAUUCCGUGUGUAGCGGUGAAAUGCGUAGAUAUACGGAGGGACACCAGUGGCGAAGGCGGCCUGCUGGACAUUAACUGACGCUGAGGCGCGAAAGCGUGGGGAGCAAGCAGG